UACGGAGGGUGCGAGCGUUGUCCGGAAUCACUGGGCGUAAAGGGCGCGUAGGCGGCCUGAUAAGUAGGGGGUGAAAUCCUGCGGCUUAACCGCAGGGCUGCCUUCUAGACUGUCAGGCUAGAGCACAGUAGAGGCAGGUGGAAUUCCCGGUGUAGCGGUGGAAUGCGUAGAGAUCGGGAAGAACAUCGGUGGCGAAAGCGCUCUACUGGACGGUGACUGACACUCAGGGACGAAAGCUAGGGGAGCGAAUGGG
This 253-nucleotide ribosomal RNA is filed under the name uncultured bacterium. RNAcentral describes it as "partial 16S ribosomal RNA". It matches the Rfam family "Bacterial small subunit ribosomal RNA", at positions 524 to 776 of the family's 1533-position model. The record is from RNAcentral.